GCUCAGCCGUAAACAAUUAAUUUACACCAAUCAGCGCCAGGGAAUUACGAGCCAUGCUUAAAACCCAAAGGACUUGACGGUGUCCCACCCCCCUAGAGGAGCCUGUUCUAUAAUCGAUGAUCCCCGCUAUACCCUACCAUUCCUCGCCUCAGUCUGUAUACCUCCGUCGAAAGCCUACCCUGUGAACGCCCAGUAAGCCCAAUGACCCCCCUCAACACGUCAGGUCAAGGUGCAGCUCACGGAAUGGAAAGUAAUGGGCUACAAUUUCUAACAUAGAACAAACGAAAGACCAUGUGAAACCAUGUCACGAAGGUGGAUCUAGUAGUAAAAAGAAAAUAGAGUGUUCUUUUUAACCCGGCUCUGGGACGCGUACACACCGCCCGUCACCCUCUGAGUCAA
This 399-nucleotide ribosomal RNA is filed under the name Amolops loloensis (rufous-spotted torrent frog). Its description in RNAcentral is "partial 12S ribosomal RNA". It matches the Rfam family "Bacterial small subunit ribosomal RNA", at positions 794 to 1414 of the family's 1533-position model. Lineage: Eukaryota; Metazoa; Chordata; Amphibia; Anura; Ranidae. The record is from RNAcentral.